This 431-nucleotide ribosomal RNA is filed under the name uncultured bacterium. RNAcentral's name for it is "partial 16S ribosomal RNA". It matches the Rfam family "Bacterial small subunit ribosomal RNA", at positions 29 to 507 of the family's 1533-position model. The record is from RNAcentral.
AACGAACGCUGGCGGCAGGCUUAACACAUGCGAGUCGAACGCCCCGCCAGGGGAGUGGCGCACGGGUGAGUAACGCGUGGAUAUCUGCCUUUUGGUUCGGAAUAACCCCGGGAAACUGGGGCUAAUACCGGAUGGUUCCUACGGGAUAAAGAUUUAUCGCCAAAAGAUGAGUCCGCGUACGAUUAGCUAGUUGGUGAGGUAAUGGCUCACCAAGGCGACGAUCGUUAGCUGGUCUGAGAGGACGAUCAGCCACACUGGGACUGAGACACGGCCCAGACUCCUACGGGAGGCAGCAGUGGGGAAUAUUGGACAAUGGGGGCAACCCUGAUCCAGCCAUGCCGCGUGAGUGAUGAAGGCCUUCGGGUUGUAAAGCUCUUUUGGCGGGGACGAUGAUGACGGUACCCGCAGAAUAAGCCCCGGCUAACUUCGUG